AAUUAAUUCUUAAUUUAGAUCGGUACCUUUUACAUAAUAAUUACUGUCUCCCCGGUUUGUGUCGUAAUGUACAGUUAUAAUUAAGUGAACUAUAAUAAUAAUAAUAAUAAUCCAGAAUGGAAGAAAAACUGACAGCAUCGAUCAUGCAGUGGUUAUUGAUCAUCUAAUACAUUUUCAGAACCUAAGUUCCAUUUACUGUUGCAUCCUUCAGAUAUGGAAGUGAGAUAGCACUUUUCCUAUUGCGAUUGGUAGUAGAAAGGAUUACGGAUGAACCGAAUGUAUCAUCCGACGUCACUAAUCAUUCCAGAUUCAGUUACAUAAAUGCCUCCAUUCUUUCUCGCUGCUCCAAUUUUAGUAUUCAUAAAUUACGGUCGGAAGUUUUUGCCCGAGUAAUUCCACCUUCCCACUUGUCGAAAUUUAGAAAAUAUCGAAAGUACUCGGUAAAAUUAUCGACAGAUUGAAGUAACCAGACCCAAGCAAUAACGCUGGUUUUAGUUUUUUAAUUUGGGAAAGCGGACGUUGGUAAGAGGUAUUUAUCAUGGCGAGGGCGAGAAAAUAUAUACUGAUUGCAGUCGGAAAUUAAAAAUAAUUGUUUAAUAACUGUUGAUAAACUGCUAUUAGUGUAAACAUAGUCGGGAAGUUUUGGUGCAGCCGCCAACUGCCGAACGAAUUGCUGGCGGUGAGGAAGAAAUAUCUGUUCUCUUUUAAAUGAUUAUUUUAUUAUUUUUUAAAUUUUUGAUGCGUUUAAUUUUGUUCGGAGACUACCGUCUGUCAACAUGUACGCAUUCGAUUCUGUAGUUGGUUUUUAUGUAAUGACAGGAAUAAGAAAUCACCGACAAAUAGCUGUCUUGAUUUGGUUUGGUGUGGCUUACACAAUCCCAUUUCACGUCGAACUCGACAAGAAAUUGCAUUUUGCUAGUUGCCUUUUUCCCUUUUUUUUUUCUUCCUCUUCAGCCUCGCCUCAGUAAUAUUAUCCCGGAUACGAGUUAAUAACUAGCGAAAGAACUGACUGGAAAAGUAAAAUUAAGAGGGGGGAAAAUAGGAUGAAGAAAUAAAAAUCGGAGCGUAAAGUUUCUAAAGAUUUCUCUCCGAUGUGGUUACGUCGCUACCGACUGGCUUUUGACGAGGAAAGGAUCAGGGAGGGGAGCAUCGGUUGUGCGCGCAAAUCUGCUAAUUGAUUCGUAGUAGCCAGCCGUCGAUUCUGAAUUACACUUCCGAGUUGACUCCAUACCUCGCUGUAAACUAAAUCGAAUCCUAUUAACGUAUUUCUUUGCCGAAAAAAUUUUAAAGGUCACUUGUUUUUCUUUCUCCUCUCAAUUUUUAAGAACCGCUGGCUCUCUUACGAAAUUUGCUCUGGCAUAUUUUUUUUUUAUUUUUAAAGAUAAUUUCUCUACCAGGAUCGAUUGGUUUAGCAUGGUUUUCGGCCGUGACAACUAGAAGUAUCGUGCUAUUUAUAGAAUACUGUUUAUUUAAAGAGACAUUUUUAAGCUUAUUAAUUUCUCAUUUUCUUUUCUAAAGUGCAUUUUAGUCGUUUCCAACCGGUGAAAUAAAUGCGUAUAACCGUCGCCUUCCGGACUGAAAAAAUAUUUUAUAUAUAUAUGUCGAUAAUCCGACCGUUAUUCUGCUUUAUUAUAAUAUAAAAUAAUAAUAGCUUUUAUAUUACGUUUUUAUACAAUAUAUUAAUUUAUCUUUCUGCGUGAGAUGGUAAAAAUUCCUGUUUAAUCAGCGUACUUUUCGGGCGGCUAUGGAAAUGCAUUAUCUGGAGUGCAACAGGAAUCGAGUAAAAAGGAUUUUUCGGAGUGAAACUUUUCAGGAGGAUCUUUUUUUCCCUCCCUCUCCUAUUUACGUUUCUGGAUUUCGAUGUUUGGCCAGAUGCCUUUGAGCCUGGAGGACAUAGAUUUGAAUACGCCUUACGCGCGAUUGAUGCGAAAAGCUGUUCGGAGUAAUGUUUUUGUACCGUACCAGAGAAUAUAUUUUCGUAGAAAUAUCGAUGUAAAUGAUAAAAAUUAUUUAUUAGUUGGUUUAGAAACCGCGUUAGAUAGUUUAGGAAAAUCCGAGAAUCGGUAUUACCCGUACUUUAAAUAGAUUAUCGAAGUAAAAUCCAGUCUCGAGCGGGUGGAGAAUUUAAAUAGAAAAUUCGAUAAAGUUGAACGUUGUUAUAGAUUUAGUCAGCGAUCGGAAAUACAGCUUUUAUGCACCCAUAAUCUAGGCGUACUACUUCAUUUUCGUGUAAUGGUCUCUGUACACGCAAACCUUACCAGUGAAGACAGCGGUCCUCGGGGGUAAUGCUCUUAUGGAGAUUUUAUUCUGUAUCCAAAAUGGCUGCCAUCACCACGCACACCACCCAAACGUCCAAAAGUGCCACGUGUCGUCACUCGGCGACUCGUUGAUUCGGUUCCGUAAUUGAAAACUAUACAGUUACAUUUAUCUUCCAUUUUUAUACGUUACGCUUUUAUUACUCGACAUAAGUAUCAUAAAUGUAAAUCUAUAAAUGGCCGGAAUGUCGUUUCCCGCUACCAAACACAAAAUAUACUCUUAUUUCUCUCAAGGUUUAUAGGUAAAGAUGCGCUGACAAAGUACUCCAACCGAUCCUUAGUCACUGUUGGGACCGAUAUCUUUCCUUUUUUUUACCGGAGUAUAUAAUAAAUUGAAUUCCUAAAUCCAACAACCCAGGAAUAAAAUCCUUAAAAGUUUUGCAUGUAGUAGAGAGGGAUCGAGGAAGAAAUCUUUUGUUUUUUCUUCUUCUUCUAGUUAUUAUUUGAAAAAGGGACUGCUGGUGAAAAGUUUACUCCGUGGCGCUUUCCGCGAAUAAUAGUGGAAUUGUUUCGCUUCUUGGUAGACUAGUUUUUUUCGUCGUUUAAAAUUUCCUUUAGAAAUUAACGAUUUUUCCGGAGCGAAUUCAUUAAUAAAUAAAAUUUUUAACGCGUUACAAAACACCGAAAUUAUAAAAAAGCGACGCCAUUCUUCCAACAUCGACAGUCGGGAGAGAGACUAUAAUUGCCACGAGUAAUGGCAGAAUCAAUGUUUCCAUUUAUAAAUUUGUCAAUGUCACCUGCCAUAUACGUGUAUUAAGUCGUGUUUGUUUAUUUUUCGUAAAAAUCUACGGCGGGUGGAGAACCCGGGUCGUAUAUAUAUUUUUUUUUUUUCGAUUUUUAUCAUUUUUAAUAUAACUUAACUCUAGAUCGUCGACCGAACUGGAAAAAACACGCUAGCAAAAAUUCCGUUUUGUAGAAAUAUCCGAAGAAGGAAAAAAAGAAAGAAAAGCGGAUAGAUUAAGUGGCCGAUAUGCUGUAUAUCAAGUAGAGAUAUUCGCAGAAUAAUCGAUACGAAUUACAAUAAUUUUAUGGCGGUUGUAUGCCCCAUUGACUACUUACCUGAGACCGAUCUGAUUUAUUAUCUUCCAAAAUAGAUAAUACGAAAAGAAGAAAAUGUCCUAUCUUUCCCUCUCUUUCCUCCUCCGGACCCUUUAUCGACUUCAUUCAUAUUUAAAAUAAUUUAAAUGUCAUUAAUGAAAUAUUCGAACGGUUAAGAUCGCAAUUUUCCGAGAGUCGCCAUAAUUUACAAAUCUAAUUAUCACAGACCGGUUAUUAUUUAUCGCCGCCAUCUAGUCGUGGAAGGAAGAAACGACAAAAAUCUCCGGACUCGAUUAAUUCGUGACGUAAAACUCGGAGUGUUAAUUAGAAAUUUGAUAAGAAAAGAAACGAUUUUCUCCUUGGAAGAGUCUCUAUCGUUACAUUAAAUCGGAAUGCGUGUCCUCUAAAAAGGAGUGAUCGAAAAAAAAGAAAUGCGAGAAUUUUUUCUUUUUCCUUUUUUUUAAUCCCUCCGAAGGAUUUCGUUGCCAGAACCCGGCGAAUUAAAACGUAAAGUUGUUAAGUGUUCCGUUCCAAUCAAUGGAAUUUUGACACCGCCGCGUUAUUUCAGCUUGCCAUGCUCGUUUUGCGCUCUCUAAUCGGCGCUGGGAUAAUAAAGAAGGCGUUAGAAUUUCGUGCAGUUUAGUGCUCAUUCCAGUAGUCGGAUUUCCACAGGUUAGUUAGUUUCCAUUUCAAUCAUUACAUUUUUUAAUAGACUCGGUUACACGAUCGUAAACCGAUAGUUAUGUACACUUGUAUCUGGUACAUUUACGAAAACGCGCCUACUUCGUGUUAUACGUCACGCACGCACUUCGUUAUUCUUUUUUUUUGUAUCGAAUUUCUUCUCUUGUGAUAGUUGAUCCGAAGCUUUUUGAGAAAUCUGUUCUGGUAAAAAAGAAACUUGAUAUUUUUAUCGAAUUGGAGGGUGAAAAUACUCUAAAAAUUAAAUAAACGUUUUAAAAAUAAAGAUCGGUUAAUUGCUCGCC
RNAcentral lists this long non-coding RNA (4336 nucleotides) under Androctonus crassicauda. The record is from RNAcentral. Lineage: Eukaryota; Metazoa; Arthropoda; Arachnida; Scorpiones; Buthidae.